Long non-coding RNA from Felis catus (domestic cat), 3296 nucleotides. RefSeq lists it as uncharacterized. The transcript is spliced from 3 exons. The record is from RefSeq and is a predicted model, not a curated record. NCBI's taxonomy places the organism in Eukaryota, Metazoa, Chordata, Mammalia, Carnivora, Felidae.
GGGGGGUGGGAGGAUGGGUUAAAUAUAUAAUGGGAAUUAAGGAAGGCACUUGUAAUGAAUGAUCACUGGAUGUUAUAUGCUAGUGAUGGAUCACUAAAUUCUACCCCCAAAACUAAAACUACACUACAUGUUAACUAACUUGAAUUUAAAUAAAAUCUUGAAAGUAAAGAAAAAAACUUUCCCUUCACUUAUGUCUAUGAAAUUAUGCUUAAGAAUUUAAUUUGCAACAUCAUUUGUUGUUUUCUCUGUGCAUCAACCUUCUUGUUAUAGUUUUGUUUAUGAUAAAAAUUAUGCUGUAAACUAUCUUUUAAUAAUAUAUACCUUAUUGAUUCAUUUGUAAUAGUUUGUUUCUGAAGUUGAAAUGUCCUAGUCAGUGGAAAAAUGUUAGCUGUAGCUUUCUCUCUACAGAAACUGUGACUCUGGACCCCAAAUGUAAGUUGGGCCCUCAGGAUGAAAAUACAUAAUUAUUUUUUAUUGUAUUUAUUUUGUCCAUUUUAUUUACUCUUUAAAGUAAGGAUUUACUGUUUUUGCUCAUAAGAACAGCCAUUCUGGUACAGGAGUAUGCCCUGCUGUAAUGCAAUUCCAUACUCAUAUUAAAUCCAGGUACCCCCUAAAGUGUUACAGGUCUUUCCAACUUAUCCUUGUCAAAAGCAGAAAGCACAUAUAUUUACAGUGUUAUUAACAUUCUAUCAAAGUGUAGGUGUAAAUGCCCAUAUCUACCCUGCCUUGCAUUGGUUACCUCUGUUAAUAUUAAUAGCACAUAAUCAUAAGCAACUUGAUUUCCAAAUCAUAUGUAAUCUCCAAAAAUAUAAAACCACACAAUAAAAUAAACCAAUACUCCCAAUUUUUUUCUAUUCCUCCUUUAAUGGUCACCAAGUCUGUAGAUAAUAAAAGCAAGAAGAGAACAAUGUGAUAUGAUUUAAUAUAAUAAAUAUAAUAUUGUGUACAUAUAACUAUAUUAAUACAAUUCAGUGUUUAGUAAAUAUGUUUAGUAAAGACAAAUGUCUUUACCAGAAGAGCAUGUUUCAUAAGGUAUUUAGAAAAUAUGGUAGGGGCAGCUGAGUGGCUCAGUCAGUUAAGUGUCCAACUUUGUCUCAGGUCAUGAUUUCAUGGUUCAUGAUUUCGAGCCCUACAUUGGGCUCUCUGCUGUCAGCACAGAGCCUGCUUUGGAUUCUCUGUCCCCCUCUCCAUCUGCCCAUCCUCUGUCCAUGCAUACUCUCUCACUCUGUCUCUCAAAAAUAAACAUUUAGAAAAAAAGAAAAUAUGAUAGUGACUUGCCCAAUGAACCUAUGAGAAAUUAUUAAGUUGCUAAUGUGAGUAGUUUUAUAUUUAUGUUUGUUUUUUCCACUGUUUUUUUUUUUUUUGGCAACGCUUCUAGAAAGUGGUACUCAUUUUAUUUGUUUUAUGAGAUGUUUCUACUAUAAAUUACUGUGUCAUCUUUACCUGUUUGUUAAAAUAACCAAGAAUCUGUUUUAAGCCCACAGAUUUAUUGCUAAAUUAUAACUCUAUCCCUGUGUCUCUUAUACUUAAAACACAUUAGGUUUCUACAUAACAAUUCUCUAUCAAUCCACAUUAGAAGGCUCACUAUUGUGUCAAAUUUUAGUGUGGUUAUUAUACCUGAUAUAGUAAUCCACAGAAGUGGAGUGUGAACUUUGAUUUGUUUCUAUCAUUUUACUAGAUGCUGUAGACACAAUCCCCAAUCACUCAAAACCUACACAAUCAUCUUAACCUAUGUCAGUCAGUUUAUCACACAAGAUCAACUACUUGAUAGACUUUUGCUAUGAAUUACAUAUAAUAUUUUACUUGAAUUUAGCCAAGUUAAUAAAAUAGUUCCCACAAAACUUUUGGAUUCCAAAGUAGUUAGGAUGAUGGGACAGAGUCUAUUGACCUGCGUGGGCUGAAUAUCAACCAAAUUCAUGUGUUGAAGCCCUAAUCCCCAAUUGUCUGCCUUUGGAGAUAGAGCUUUUAGGAGAUAAUUAAGGUUCAAUUAGGUCAUAAAGGUGAGGCUCUAAUCUGACAAGACUGAUGGCCUUAUAAGAAGAAAAGAGAAGUCUCUCUCCACAUCCAUGUGCUCAGAGGAAAGGCGGUGUGAGUACUGCUGCAAGAAGGCAGCUAUCUGAAAGUGAGGAAAAGAGUUAUCAGCAGAAACUAAACCCUGCCAGAAAGUAAUCUGAACUUCCAGCCUCCAGAAUUGUGAGAAUAAGUUUUUUGGUUUUUUUUUUAAAUGCCACCCAGCCCAUGAUAUUUUGUAAUGGUGGUCUUAGCAGACUAAUACAUGAUUUAUACCCAAUAGUGCCAAAAUUCUGUAAAGUUGGUGAUUUGUAUUACCUAGUUGACACACACUGAAAUAAAGUUGACAAUGAAAAUGGUCUUUCAAUUUUGAAAUCUCUCAGCAAUUUGAAUUAUUGAUCUUAUCACAGAUUUUUAUGUCUGAUUUAUAUUUAAGUAAUGCAUUUCAAUAAAUUGCUAUUUUAGUCACUGCAAACAAUGUACAUUGUUUACAAUAGUACAGAUGUACAGAAAUAAUAUAUGAAACAUUUAUCAACCUCAUGUAUGGCAUGCACAUUAGUCAAUUAAAAUGGACGUCCAACCAAUGAGAACAGAAAAUAGCUGCUAUUUUAAGCUUUCCCAUUGAGUGGCAGAUCUGCCUACUCAUACAUCAGUAUGAUUUUUUAAAUGAGUGAUAGUACCAACAAUAGUUGAUGCAGUGAGCCUUCCGAGUCAUUUCUUUGAAAUAAUUUUAUAGUUCUUCUUCUAUAAAUGGUUUGUGAAUAAACCUGACUUAUUUAUGGAAUAUAGUGCAUUAUAAGAGUUACAACAAGGUAAGUUUGAGAUGAGGUGCCUCUUUUUUAAAAUUUUUUUAAUGUUUAUUUAUUUUUGAGAGAGAGAGAGAGUGUGCAAGUGGGGGAGAGGCAGAGAGCGAGCGAGACACAGACUCUGAAGCAGGCUCCAGGAUCUGAGCUGUCAGCACAGAGCCCGAUGUGGGGCUCAAACCCACAAACUGUGAGAUCAUGACCUGAGCCAAGUCUGAUGCUUAACCAACUGAGCCACCCAGGCACCCUAAGAUGAGGUGCCUCUUGAAGAGAAUAACUAAACAUUUUGGAAAGAAAAAUGCACAUGCUUGCUGAAUGCAUUGACUUGUAAAUGGAAAAAAAGAAAAGCCUGUCUAGCGCCUUUCCAAAGAAGACAUCCAGAUGGCCAACAGACACAUGAAGAGAUGCUCAACAUCACUCAUCAUCAGGGAAAUACAAAUCAAAACCACAUUGAGAUACCACCUCACACUGGCCAGAGUGACU